This 891-nucleotide small RNA is filed under the name Arabidopsis thaliana (thale cress). Its description in RNAcentral is "ATSL114340". Lineage: Eukaryota; Viridiplantae; Streptophyta; Magnoliopsida; Brassicales; Brassicaceae. The record is from RNAcentral.
ACUUUAUAUAUUAUCUUGGUAUUUGUUAAAUUGUUAUUGAAUAUAAAUACAUUUGCUCUAACCUAUUAUUUUUAUUUUCAAAAUCACUGAUUGAAAAAAUAUUUUCUAAGCUCUCUAAGCUUCCAUUAGACUCAUUUACAAAAGAUGAUUAAUUGGUUAGAUCAAGCGAAUGUUGGAGAAGAAUUGCUUUCAACUCAAAAAUUACAAGCACAUUUUUCAGGCAUUUGAUAGAAAUACAAAAUGAGUGUUUAAUUAAAAAUAUUUGUGAUAAUGAUGAACAAUUAGCUAGGAAUGAGACUAUUGUCUACAGCUUGGAUCAUCCAUAAGAUGAUUAUAGAUCACAGUCUCAACAAGUUUAUAUUUUUUCUAAAUUACCACCAUCUGUAUUUGUGCCAUUCAAAAUGAGAAAUCAAAUUAAAUGAAGGUAAGAGUUUUGGUUGAACUUGUAGAGUCAAAGAGUAACGUUGAGGAAUAUAGUCAUGCUACUAUGCUGGAGUAUCAGUGGAUGAAAAUAUACAAAAUUAUUGUGGCAGAUAUCUGAUCUUUCAGAAAAAGAAAGCCAAACAUAUCAGUCACCUACUACUAAUAGAUCACGAAUACUUCUCCAAAAAUGUAAGUCUACAACAUUUGUAACCCUUAUUAGAUCACAUGAUUAAAGCUUUUUCUUUGAAAUUGGUGAAUUAUGUUGCAACACUUGAUCCCAAUAAAGAUUUGGACUUUUUUCGAAAUUGUGGUUGGGAACCUUAUUACAUGUAAGAAUCUUCAUCUCAUUGUUCAAAAAAUAAUAGUAUCCAUGUCUAACACUAGUCCAAUAAAUUUAGCUAAAAUUUCUCUUUCAAUUAGGAAAAAACAAUGAAUUUAAAAUUUAAGUUAUGCAAAAUUAACCUUAAG